RNAcentral lists this ribosomal RNA (253 nucleotides) under uncultured bacterium. RNAcentral describes it as "partial 16S ribosomal RNA". It matches the Rfam family "Bacterial small subunit ribosomal RNA", at positions 524 to 776 of the family's 1533-position model. The record is from RNAcentral.
UACGUAGGGUCCGAGCGUUGUCCGGAAUUAUCGGGCGUAAAGGGCUCGUAGGCGGUUCGUCACGUCGGGAGUGAAAACUCGGAGCUUAACUCCGAGCCUGCUUCCGAUACGGGCAGACUAGAGGUAGGCAGGGGAGAGCGGAACUCCUGGUGUAGCGGUGGAAUGCGCAGAUAUCAGGAAGAACACCGGUGGCGAAGGCGGGUCUCUGGGCAGUAACUGACGCUGAGGAGCGAAAGCGUGGGGAGCGAACAGG